UCCUCCGUGGCGCAAUUGGCUAGCGCGUCUGACUGUUAUUCGCUCGUCUCGAGUGUACCGGCAUCAGGAGGUUGACAGUUCAAGCCUGUCCGGGGGAG
This is a transfer RNA of Microdochium bolleyi, 98 nucleotides long. It matches the Rfam family "tRNA". From Rfam's summary of the family: Transfer RNA (tRNA) molecules are approximately 80 nucleotides in length. Their secondary structure includes four short double-helical elements and three loops (D, anti-codon, and T loops). The record is from Rfam. NCBI's taxonomy places the organism in Eukaryota, Fungi, Ascomycota, Sordariomycetes, Xylariales, Microdochiaceae.